Molecule: ribosomal RNA, 440 nt
Filed under: uncultured bacterium
Lineage: Bacteria
Description: partial 16S ribosomal RNA
Rfam family: Bacterial small subunit ribosomal RNA
Source: RNAcentral
CCUACGGGUGGCUGCAGUGGGGAAUAUUGCACAAUGGGGGAAACCCUGAUGCAGCGACGCCGCGUGAGUGAAGAAGGAAUUCGUUAUGUAAAGCUCUUUCAGCAGGGAAGAAAAUGACGGUACCUGAGUAAGAAGCCCCGUCUAACUACGUGCCAGCAGCCGCGGUAAUACGUAGGGGGCAAGCGGUAUCCGGAUUUACUGGGUGUAAAGGGAGUGGAGACGGCAGUGCAAGUAUGGAGUGAAAGGCGGGGGCUCAACCCCCGGACUGCUCUGGAAACUGGACGGCUGGAGUGCAGGAGAGGUAAGUGGAAUUCCGAGUGUAGCGGUGAAAUGCGUAGAUAUUAGGAGGAACACCGGUGGCGAAGGCGGCUUACUGGACUGUAACUGACGUUGAGGCUCGAAAGCGUGGGGAGCAAACAGGAUUAGAUACCCGGGUAGUC